Molecule: long non-coding RNA, 1844 nt
Organism: Canis lupus familiaris (dog)
Lineage: Eukaryota; Metazoa; Chordata; Mammalia; Carnivora; Canidae
Exons: 3
Source: RefSeq, a predicted model, not a curated record
GGAAAAUUCACAGGCAAGUCUCAGUGCAAAUGGAAGAGGCCCCCAGAAACUGUUGACAGGUAUUUGGGGUUAGGUUGGUUGACAACUGGUAAAAGUAAAUGGGUGGUUUGGGAGGGGGAAUGUAGGUUAUGUCUGAUUAUUGAAUGUGCUUCACACAGGAAUAUAUAAAAUUUGUCCAACUAGGCAGUGAAGAAACACCUGGGUAGCAGCACAGUGAUUCACAGAUUUUUGAGUAAAUAUUUCCGGGUAUCACUUCGAGCCUGGGCAAAAACCUGCACAUGGAGACUUGCCAAAUCAACACCCAGGUCAGUAACCUCAGAGCACUGUAUCAAAGCAAAGGCAUCUGCGCAUGUCUGUCUGAAUGCAAGAGUUGAGGAAUUCUGGGCAACCAGGUUCAGCCUCCAGGACUCACACCUCAGUCACUUGACUUCAGGCCAACUGCUCCAUGUCAUUUUGUCCCAAGCUUUUAUUUUUUUUUUUUUAAAGAAAACACUUAUCUGUUUUUCCUUUGGCUCCCCUGGGGUACAGUAGAAAUGAAUCCAGUAUCUAUUUAAAGCCCAAGAACAUCAAAGGCCUGUGCCACACUGGAAGAAUCUUCUGAGCAAGGGUGCCACAGGGCCACACUGGAUGCGUGACAGAACCAACCCGAAUCAGAAGACAGAGAACAUAACGCUGUCUGAACAUGUGGGCAAGUCUGACAACUCCCUGCUCCCGACUCAUCAUGUGAAAAGACAUGUUAUCCCUCUGCUUACCCAAAUAUCACAGUUAAAGAAGGAUGUUUAAGAGGCAGAAUUCUAUAAUGCACAGCACUGCGAAUCCCAGUUUGAGUUCCAGAUCUGAAGACUUGGCAAGAAACUUCACAUCUAAAAUGUGCCUAUAAGCUCAUUUUUCAUAGAUUACGAUUUCCAACUGUAGUGACAACUAAAUGUUUGAGGUAGUUUGAUUCUGAGAACUAUAUUGUAUUUUGUUCUCUGGCCAUUACAGAAAAUAUAGAAAUCAUAGAAUAAAACAAGAGGAAAAAAGGGAAUAUGAUAUACUAUGACUCUUGAGAAAAGGAGUAUGUUUGUUAUAUUUCCUAUCAAAGGCAAUAUUUCUAUAUUUUGUAUUAUUUUAAAACUAAGAAGUUAACACACUGUGGUAUCUUCCCUACUAAAAAUAACACAAUGAUGUUACAGAUAUCAUUCAACUAGUAACACACUAUGGUUAUUUUCCUAUAUUAUUAAAAAUGCUUCAUGGCUGCAAGUAACUUCUCUGCAGUUUUACAUAAAAUGUACUUAUCCACUUCCACCUUGCUGAAUUUUUCUCUUUGCUACUAAAGGGAAAAAAUAGUGCAAUUACUACUUUCACCAGACAAAGAGCAUUAUGAACAAUUUUAGACUCUUUUAAACACUUCUGUUUGCUUUGUCCCAAAAAAUAAAUCAAUUUACACAAUAGUAGUAAUAUGGGAGUACCUGCCUUACUAAAUUCUUACUAACAUUUGAACAUUAACAAUUCUUGUUACUUUCUGUCAAAUGGCACCUCAUUAUUUGCCUUUCUUUGACUAUUAGUAAUGUUAAUUUUUUCCCAUAAGUUUAUAGGAAAACUGUACUUUUUUGUGGAUUCUGUGCGUAUUGUAUAGUAUACUAUCUUGUCUAUUCAUUCUUCCAAAUAAUCACUAAAUAUCUGGGACAAUGCCUUAAAACCAUUUAGUCUGGAAAGCCCAUCAUCUUUAUAAUGCUUAGUUCUAUCAUCUGUGAGCACAGUUCGCCUCUGUAAUUAAUCUGUAUUUUGUUUUGUUUUUAAAUAUUUUAUUUAUUUAUUCAUGAGAGACACAGAGAAAGAGAGAGAGAGAGAGAGAGAGAGAG